UAGUGGCCUUUCACCAUCAAGCGAUAGGGGACCAGUGCGAGGACAUAUAGCCCUCGCUUUUCUAACUGUAAGGGGGGGGGGGAAUAAGAGCUGGGCAAGACCGGUGCCAGCCGCCGCGGUAAUACCGGCAGCUCAAGUGAUGACCGAUUUUAUUGGGGCCUUAACGCCUUCCGUACCCGCCCAAAAAGGGUUUUAUGGGUAAAAUCCGCCCACCUUAACCGGGUGCGGGCUCCUGGUAAAAAACCAUUUUGUUUGGCCCCCGAAGGGCUUACGGGGGCCCCUCUGGGGGACAUAAAUUAAAACUUGCCUGUCCGGGGAUGGGCACAUGCACCUCCAAAAGCACUUAUCCAAAAUUCCCGAUGUAUAGCUAGGGCUCUCGAACCCGAUUACAUACCGGGUAGUACCAGCUGUUAACGCGCUCGCUUAAGUGUUGCACAGGCUAUGAGCCAGGUCCGUGCCGUAUGCCAGCCGAGAAGCGAACCUCUGGUAAUACGGUCGCCCGCUGAACCUUCCGACUGGCGGGGAUCCCACCCA
This 534-nucleotide ribosomal RNA is filed under the name uncultured haloarchaeon. RNAcentral describes it as "partial 16S ribosomal RNA". It matches the Rfam family "Archaeal small subunit ribosomal RNA", at positions 343 to 883 of the family's 1478-position model. The record is from RNAcentral. Lineage: Archaea; Methanobacteriati; Methanobacteriota; Halobacteria; Halobacteriales; Halobacteriaceae.